RNAcentral lists this long non-coding RNA (1863 nucleotides) under Salmo salar (Atlantic salmon). Its description in RNAcentral is "lncRNA (ENSSSAG00000097081.1)". Lineage: Eukaryota; Metazoa; Chordata; Actinopteri; Salmoniformes; Salmonidae. The record is from RNAcentral.
UGGGUCGCAGUUGCACAUUUAUUUUAUAAAAACAAAUAGGCUAUGUCUGCCUGCGAAUUCGUAGUUUUUUUGCAAUAUGGCCUGUGCGCUGAUUGAGUUUGUCACCCCUGGGCUAGCGUAUCUAUUUAUGUAACUAGUUCUUUAUUUAGCAAGCUAUAAACACAUUACUUAUCGUUAGCUAGCUAGCUGCUGGGAGGAUGUCAUGUCAUUCGAGUAGUGGGUGAGUGACCGACUUUUCCUCCUCAUAUUGUUUUUCAUUGGCUACAGCUAUAGAUGCUGCAGGUGUUAUUGUUUAGAUAGAAAAAAUGUGAAUCGCUUUGCUAGCUAGCUAUGAUGAUCUUGAGCGACUGUUAUCCACAGUUAGCAAAUCUCUUAGUUAUCAAUCAAAUGUAUUUGGCAUCGAUCAAAUGGGCAGGCAGACAGGCAAGAUCCAAUUCAGUUGUCAAAAAGAACCAGACCAGAACCAGGAACCAUUCAUCACCACAACAGAAGAGUUGCGGAGGAAGGACCAAAGAUCUAGACCUAUGCCCGGAGCGAACAGGCCACAGGGGAGUAUCAUCACUGACCUCUGGCUCCUGGGCUUCCAAGUGUGUCAGCUCACUCCUCAAGUUGUCCUUUCUCCCCUCUGCAGAUCCAAAACAAGUUCCAGAACCAGUCCCCAUACCAGAACACCGGAAGAGGCACGGAGGAGGGACCAACCAUCAGACCACCCGGAGCAAGCAGGCCACAAGGGAGUGCCAUCACUGUCCUCUGUGGGCUUCCUUGUGUGUCUACUUGCUCCCCAGAUUGUCCUUCCUCCCCUCUACAAAUCCAGAUCCCGACCCUUUACUUGCACCAGUUCCCGGUUCCUAGUUUCCCGGUUCCUGUUUCCCGGGCCCUGUCCCAUCACCAAUAGAUGGUUUCCAGUCCCAGCCCCAGCACCAGCACCAACCCCUUCGCCAACACUGGACACAGCCGUGGCCAUCACAACUUUCUGAAAUAAACGUUAAAAAACAAAAGAGAUGGAAAUUGAUUUCAGAAGGAACAAAACUCCACUACCUCCUACGAAGAUCAAUGGGGAAUCAGUCAAUAGAGUGACCACAUAUAAAUACCUGGGAUUCGAAAUAGACAAUAAACUGAAAUUCAAUGAUCGUGCCUUUGCAUAGAUAAAGAAAUUGCAACAGUGAAUUUUUUUAUACGCAAAGUGAACCAUUUUAACGUUGACCGCAAUAUCUUACAAAUGUUCUAUUGAUCUGUCCUGCAGAGUGUACUGUCCUUUGGUCUGUGUGUUUGGAAACAUGCGAGUGCAAGACCAAGUCAAACUUCAGAGCUUUAAUAAGAUGGCGGGAGGGAUAAUUGGUAUAGAUCAAGAAUCAGCCAGCAGUCUGUACACAAAACUCAUCCUCUUAAAUCUUGAAUGCAUUUUACAGGACAGUACUCAUCCCCUUCACUCAAAAUCCAGUCACAGCAGCAGCAGGACAAGGGGAAAGAGUUCUUUAAAAAAAAAUUCUAACUGAUAGAUAUGGGGACUCUUUUAUUCCAACAGCCAUUAGGCUGUUUAAUAGAUAGUCUGUUGGUCCCUCGAGUAUACCGCAUAUUGCACUUUCACUUUAAAUGUGUAGCUAUAACACUUUGAAGGAAUUCUGUUGUGUAGUUUCUAUGUUUUCAUGAUAUCUCUACCAUCUUUUUAAGCACAUUACCAAAUUAAUUUCCCCUGGUGGGACAAUAAAGUUGAUCUGAAUCUGAAAAGCCACCUCACCCAGCCGCUGCUAGCCCAGACCCCACCCCUUCCUCUCCCCCAACACAAGGACACAGACAGACAGUCUACCGCUCUAGUAGACCAACCAUCAACCACACAACUCAAAACAGGCAAGUUCCCCUCCC